Xyrichtys novacula (pearly razorfish) is the source of this 6313-nucleotide non-coding RNA. Lineage: Eukaryota; Metazoa; Chordata; Actinopteri; Labriformes; Labridae. The record is from the annotation of a GenBank genome assembly.
AACUUCACAUAGUAGAGAUAAAUCUGUAUGAGUCUCUUCACUUUCAAGCACUAAAAAGAUGCAUCUUAGAUAGAAAUCCCUUCAGAGGCUUGUCUGUUACUGUACACUUUAAUGCUGUUGCAGUUAUCGUAAAACAGUCAGAGACAUUUCCUUGAAAGACAUAAAACACAUGACGGAGAAUUAGUCAUAAAACAACUAUUUAUUCAUACAGCGGGCACACCAAAAUAGACUACAUUCCAAGUAGAUUUGCAUUGUUGACCUUAGUUGACCUUAGACCAUAGUUGAGUUCAUAUCCUGCCGAAAGUGCUGAUCAAGGUUGUGCGGACGCAUAAAAAUUCACAACUGUUUUUCUUUCACAAGACACACGUAGAAUAAGAGGAUAUCCUAUGAUGGCUGUUGCAAAAAUAAACAGUUUCACCUUAUAACUCACUAAUUACUCUCCCACUGUGGAAGUCAGAUAAGCCAAAAACCAUUAAAGCGACAUUAGACGGUCCUAAUGCUUCCUAUCCCGAGCAGCCACACCAAACACUACACCUUGGGUAUUUUAUAAACAAAUAAAAAAUGACGCAGAGGAAGUUCCUGGGGUGUCAUAAUUUUACCUGUCUUUUCUAACAAUAUGUGUAUGUAAACAGCUAUUUAGCACACUGGUUCUGUCAAGAAAAGAUGAUCAGUCAUGAAGGAAACAAAGGAGAGAUCUUUAAAAAUAGCCCGAGAGUGAGAAUCUGAUAAAUCUGAAGUGAAACUCCGGGAUAAACUAAAUUUACCCCCUCGAUUAUGAAAAGGGUGUUGGUUACAUAACAGACAGUCCAGUCUGGGUCAUCCCACCAGCUCACUGACCCAAACCUGCCAAGUGGCAGCAGUCUCAUGACAGUGAUUUGCAAGCUAACGAUACUGUCUCAUGGGAUGGGAUAGGAGCCUUUGAAGGAAGCCGUUCACUGGUGAUGAUUUCAGGGCAUGUGAGGGGUGUGUAUUUGGGUGUUUCUGUGUUACCAAACUCGUGAAUGUGAGCCUUGGUGAACCAGUAAAUUAGUCAUUCAGCUACAUUGUCUAGCUGAAUGCUUACUGAUCAUUUAUUUUGCUUGUUGGUGUGAGGUCUUCUGUAAGAGUGACCUCUCUUUAUCCCAGUUAACAAAACAUCUGGUUCACAACAAGUUUGUCACGCCUCCUACCGAGUUUGUUUAGUAGCCACAACAGAACUUAAAUCGAUUUCAAGAUCCAAAGGAUACGUGGAAGUGAUGGCGCAAAUGUGUCGUGUUUGUUUUGCUCUGACGACUAUUUUCCUUUGCACACUGAAUACCUUGGGACCAAACUGUAAUUAGAUAAAUUUGAGCAAUUAGUAAAAUGAGUUUCUAACUGUCACAAGCGGUUUCAUGGGUCACUGCAUUUCUGUGCUGUCCAUGCACCACAACCUAUAACCCAUUAGUCUGUUUGUUCAACCUCAGACAGCCGCUUUUCCUCACAAACACUUGGAGCGUUUGUGUACAGUAUGGUUUGUUUCUAUAUUUUCUAUGAGGAACUGUGCUCUACUUUCACAAAAAAAGGGAAAAACAGUGUGGGGGGGUGGGUAGACUGACACCAGGAAGUGAUAAAACAAGCCCUGCUAUCGUGGCUCUUUCCUGUCAACUGUCCAAUAUUUUUGUGUUGAAGUCUAAUCAUUUAAACUGCAAAUAUGAGCUGAAGCAGCUCUGAUAUUGAAUAGCUUUCCCUGAGAAAAAAAUAAUGUAAAAUGUUCUGCUUUCAUUUGUAACUAAAGAGAAAUGUCUCAACUUUCCUCUCUUUUGUUAAAUGAAUAUUUGACACAUGCACAUUCUUGUCUUGCUAUUCAUUUAAAAUUGUCAUUUCUGUAACUAAAUAAGUAAGAAACUCUAAGAAACCUUGUUCACUCUUGCAUAAAUCAUUUGGAGGAAGAAAAGGCCUCUCAUGUCCACACUGCGGUGACUUUCAGCUGCUAUCAGUGGACUGCAGAUUCACAUUUUGUAGCCCAAACGCAAAGAGUAAGACGCUGGAAAAUGGAGCCGUUUCUGCUGUGACUAUUUUCCAUUUGAAUAUGAAAAAGUUUCCAGCUGAAUUCACCUCACUGCUCUGCAGGAAAAAGGUAUGCAUACCAUUAGACAGAGGUGGUUUCAUUUUGCUCUUCUUUAUUGCUUUUACUGCAGUCGUCCGGGUACUUUAUGCCUCUGUGUUCAAACUGCAUGCAUGGUUGGAUUAUUAGUCGUGACAGCGUCGACCUCUGUGUAAGGCAUCUGUCAACUUUGACCCCAACUAUCAAACAAACUCAUGUGAUAUCAAGCCCACCGUGAACUUAACAUUUACUUUCUGCUGCUCUCACAUCAUAAAGUUCCAUUAAUGAGAGAUUUAGAAGGUCUUCAGAACAUUUUUAUUCACUCUCACAUAAAUCACACAUACAGAGUCUCACUUUGUCUGUACUUUGUGUAUUUUUGAGCAUUCUCCACAUUCCUCAACAAGUGGUCUCACGAUUCAGUCAGAUGUGAAGACCUCCAGUGGAGGUAUGUUUGGUGAAGAUAGAAGCACAGGCUAUGCUGAAUGGGUCUGAUAAAAUGUAGAGAUAUUAACGAUAACUGUGUAUAGUUUGAGGUAUCAGAAAUAUUUUACAGUGCAGCAGACAAACAUGAGAGCAGUCAGAGAGUAAACGUUUCUAAGGAUUCAGCAAAGACCAUGUGAAGGACCAAGACAUAGGUGUGGACAAAGAUCAGAUUUUGAAUUAUCAGUAACUAAAAAAAAGAAACUGAAUGUAAAAAAAAAAUAAAAUAAAAAAAACCCUAAAACUCCAUCCUAUCAGAACAUAAUCAGACCUAACUCAAGUGAGAUGAGACAGAAGACCAGUCAAACAAAAGCCCAAGGGGACUACAAACUGAACAUCUAAAAAACUUAAAAAUACACCUUUUAAAAAAAUCUAUACUUAUAAUAAUCUGAAUAGUGAACAAUGGAAUGCUAACAUAAGGUGGCAGCAGGUCACAGCCACCACAGACCUGAUAGUCAAUGAAACGUUGAUGUUUCUGGAAAACUUGUGUAACAGGGAUUGUGUAACAGAUGAUAAUUAGCUCAAAGACAGCAGCUUUCGAGAUACUCCAUUAAUCUUCAGGUAAUGGCUAAUCAAAUCAUUACAACUAAAAGGCUCCAGUGAGAUCCCUCCUAUGUCUGUGUUUUGAAAGUCAAGUACCUCCGGUUGUAUUAGAGAUUUCAGCGAGUUACAAUGGGACAUCUCAUCGUUGGCACACUACGCAGCAUACCAAAACAAUCAACAAACACAUUAAUGUAAGGCUAACUGGAUGUAUGUUUAACAAUGAAAUCCAAUAUAUCUUAAUAGCUCUGUACCUUUUGUUUUUUUAUACCCCUAUAUAUAAAAAAGUGAGGCAAAUACAUGGAAAAUCUAUUCCUGACCGCAUUAUUUUGGUUUGGUAGUAAAUGCGAACACAUUUUCAAAAGUCCAAAUUGAGCCGGACUCACACACCGAAUUAUUUUAUUUUUAAACCAUCACCUGAAUGUAAUGUCUGUGGCCCCUAAAACUGUGAAAAGCCAGUCUCCUAGGGCCUGUUAUGAAAAAGUCAUCUCUAAUGACUCCCCUUAAAUCUGCUUAAAGGCUGCAGGCCGGAUCAAUUUCAUUAAACAGCCUGUUAAAAUAAAUCAAGGCUGCUACUCUUAUCAAAGUAGAUUGUAAUUCUGACAACAGAGUGAUGACUGAGCAGGCUAUCUUGUUAAUCCAGAAAGUAAAAACUGUAUGCAGGACUUGAUUGAUGUUUUUAAUCAAACACAGCAACAACUCAACUUGAAUCAGCCAAGUUGCACAAGCAGCUCACGACUAAUCACCUGUACUUAGUUUUUCCUUUUGUGAAGCCUACAGUGAAGUGUGAAGUCUGACAGGGCUGUAGGAAGUAAUCACUCAAAAGGCUUAGUAAUUCUGCUAAUUACUCUGUAUGCAAACGGCCAAUUCAUCACUUCAGGGGAGACAGUGAGGCUGUGGCACAUGUACACAUACGCACAUGUACAAAAUUGUUGGUAUCCCCUCUGUUGAUGAAAGAAAAACCCAUAAACGUCACUUAAAAAAACUUGAAACUGACAAAAGAAAUAAUAAAUAAACCAUUAAUUAUUACUGAAGAUUAACUAAUGAAAACCAGAUAUUGCUUUUGAGCUGUGGUUCAGCAGAAUCAUUGAGAAAAACAAACUAAUGGUACAAGCCUGGACAAAAAUGAUGGUACCCUUAACUUCAUAUUUUGUUGCACAACCUUUUGAGGCAAUCACUGCAAUCAAACUAUUUCUGUACCCCCUCAUGAACAAACUGCUCCACUUGUGUCAGGUUUGAAGGGUGCCUUCUCCAGAUUGUGUUUCAGCUCCUUCCACAGACGUCCAAUAGGAUUUAGAUCAGAGCUCAUAGCACUUUGAAAUAGCUGAGACCAAGCUUUCUGACACUAGACAGCACAUUUUUUGAGAUAGUCUUGAGAUUUCAUUAUAACCUGCACAGAUUCAAGACACCCUGUGCCAGGUGCAGCAAAGCAGCCCCAGAACAUAACCGAGCCUCCUCCAUGUCUCACAGUAGGGACAGUGUUCUUUUCUUGGUCUGCUUCAUUUUUGUGUUUGUGAACAUAGACUUAAUGUGCUUUGCCAAAGAGCUCAUCUUUUAAAAGGACAACCUCCCCUAACUUUUGGGGCUUGUCAAUAAGCAUUGAAGCAAAUUCCAGUCUUGCUUUCUAUGAUUUGCUUUCAACAGUUAGCUAUAACGAUAACUGAUGGUGCGAUCUUUGACUUUGAUCUUGACUUUUAACAUUCUUGUCUAUAAUUAGGGCCACAAGACAAACAUGCAAGGCGCUAAUGUUAAAUUGUGGAUUUUUUCUUAUUCCUUUUCCAAACACAUUUCUCUUCUUUACUAGUCCUACAGCUUGAUGAGUUCUAGGACAAAACUAUAUGUCAAAAUGUUUGGUUUGAUCAGGAUCAGUGUGCUAUUACAUUCUCUAUUGUAUAUUAAUUUUUCGUGACAUAAGUCAAGAAAAACUGCAGGAAAAUUUUGCAUUAAAGUCAAUGAGACAAGCCAUAAAAUAGAGCAAUUAUUGGAGUUUUUCAAACAUCUACUGCUUUUUUUUUUUGUCUUUUUGGAUUAUUAAAUACUUGAAAAAUGUUACUAGUAUUGACUUUUUUAAAUCUCUGAAUAAUCUCAUCAUAACAGGUAGUGGCCCCCAUGGCCCUGGUCAAAAUUUCCCAGUGAGAAUUUUCUUGUUUAUCAUGUCCUCAUGGUCAAAUUAUUUUCAAUCUUUUUACCAUCAUUUUUGUCUAGGGCAUUUUUUUUAUGAUUCUGUUAAACCACCACUCAAAAGCAAUGUUUGACUUUCAUUGGUUGAUUUUCAGUAAUAUUUUAUUUAUUAUUUCUUUAGUCAGUUUAAAGUUAUUUCAGUGAUUAUUGUGGACUUUGAUUGACAGUGGGGUACCAACAAUUCUGUCCAUGUGUUUAUACAAUACUUUAAACAACUGAACCACUUUGAUAUUCUCUACAGCACACCAUAGUUACAAAAAUGCGCAUUGCAGGUGUAAUAAUAAAAAAAGUCAAAUAUCCUGUAAACUAAAAUAUAAAAACACUGUCACGUUAUAUACUUAAAAGUAGACAUUCAUAUCAGUCUUCAGUUUCUUUAAUAUUUUACCCAGAGAUAACCACUUUAAAACAUUUUGAACUGACACACAAGGAUUAUUUAAUUCCAAACAGUCUUAUCAGUGCCUGAAACUGACCACAGCAAGCUGACUAGACGGUACUGAACAGCUUGCAUUAGUCUUUCGAGCAUUAUUCAUGUUGGUGUACAAGCAGAAGGACACAUAAGAAAGUCUAAAACAAAGGUUUUAUUUGUGUCACUCUGUUCCUCUCAGUGUCAGGAAUGUGCCAAAUACGAGCUCACGGAGCAGCAGAGAGUUCAAGCUGGCACAGUUAAUAAUUAAAAGGUCAUAAAUUCGUUUGAGGACAGGACACUUUCCCUCAUGUGCCUUUGAUGCUCCUAAAAUACACGCACACAUCCUGUGUUGCAAUGACAGAAUUAGUCACAACUGAGUGUACUCUGUGAGCUGAGUCUGAGUGUCACACAUUACACCACAUCCAUUACAUUUAUCUAUCUGUAUUGAAUCACAGACUCAAAAUCCUUAAAAAUCCAUAGCAGACAUAUAAAAGUAUCCAACAAUGUGACCACACAGAGGCUUUAAAGACCAACAGUAGUUGUAGUGUAAACUCUUUGACAUUUGUUGCAGCAGCCCUGUUGCUGUUUGCCGUCACACCCCCUUGAAUUCAGAGCCAGGUGCAACAGACAUCUCAUUUCCCAAA